Molecule: unclassified non-coding RNA, 644 nt
Filed under: uncultured Prochlorococcus sp.
Lineage: Bacteria; Bacillati; Cyanobacteriota; Cyanophyceae; Synechococcales; Prochlorococcaceae
Description: partial 16S-23S ribosomal RNA intergenic spacer; may also contain 16S ribosomal RNA and 23S ribosomal RNA
Rfam family: tRNA (bases 306-378)
Source: RNAcentral
UUGUGGAGGAGGACGCCGAAGGUGGGGCUAAUGACUGGGGUGAAGUCGUAACAAGGUAGCCGUACCGGAAGGUGCGGCUGGAUCACCUCCUAACAGGGAGACAACAAAAUGUUUAAUAUUAUUAUUUUGUCACCUUAGGUCGAUCGGUAUCUCACAUUCUUAAUUUAUUAAGGAUUUUAUUUCCUAAGUUUUUUCUAGGUCACACCCAUUACUUUUCCUGGGCCAUUAGCUCAGGUGGUUAGAGCGCACCCCUGAUAAGGGUGAGGUCCCUGGUUCAAGUCCAGGAUGGCCCAUAUCUCUAUGUUGGGGGUAUAGCUCAGUUGGUAGAGCGCCUGCUUUGCAAGCAGGAUGUCAGCGGUUCGAGUCCGCUUACCUCCACUGAUUACCACCUCUUCCAUAAUUAUUUAAGGAAAUGUUUUGAGUAGUGAUCAAAUUCUGAACGAAUCUAGCUUCCUAAUGAAUUCAUUAAGAUGCUGGACUCAUUGAAUUAUUUUCAUUGUUUUCAGAGAACCUUGACAACUGCAUAGAUUAUUUUUAAAGACAAUAAGCAUCUUUAUGAUGCAGAUUUAUUAUUUGUGCGAAUGCAUUAAUAACAAUUCUAUUAAGCUGAUGCUUCAAUUAUGAAGUUAUUGGUCAAGCUACAA